Sitodiplosis mosellana (orange wheat blossom midge) is the source of this 473-nucleotide long non-coding RNA. RefSeq lists it as uncharacterized. The record is from RefSeq and is a predicted model, not a curated record. The transcript has 3 exons. NCBI's taxonomy places the organism in Eukaryota, Metazoa, Arthropoda, Insecta, Diptera, Cecidomyiidae.
AAAUCAGACAUUAGGUAUUUAUAUAUUGCAAUAUGCAUCUGUAGAUGCGCAGUAUAAGUUUGCAUGUCAGCAGCUGUGCUCGCGAAUGUGAAUUGCCCAAAGAUGAAGAUCUUGGUAUUGCUGUUGUGUUUUGUGAUAGCCAUAGGAUAUGUUACAGGAGAUAACUGUGCACUUACGGAAGAACCAUGCGCCAACGGUGUAGGAUGUUUUCUGACUCAAAAUAAAUGUAAUAGAUUUGACGGUGAGUGGAUGAUCAGCUAUUAUUUGUAUUUAAAAACUAAAUGUUGACAAUAUUCUUUUUAAGACUGUGACGAUAAAACUGAUGAACGUGAUUGUGAAAAUAUAACACCAUUGGACGAUAAUGUUUGGGUAUCAAGAUGAUAUUGUUUGACCCAUUUAAUUGACAUAAUUUUGAAAUUUUUACUUGUUUGACAUAGGCAGACAAUUUUUUUGUUUACUGCAUAAGCAUUUUU